RNAcentral lists this ribosomal RNA (3007 nucleotides) under Salmonella enterica. RNAcentral's name for it is "23S ribosomal RNA". It matches the Rfam family "Bacterial large subunit ribosomal RNA". Lineage: Bacteria; Pseudomonadati; Pseudomonadota; Gammaproteobacteria; Enterobacterales; Enterobacteriaceae. RNAcentral also lists the same sequence under 2 other names. The record is from RNAcentral.
GGUUAAGCGACUAAGCGUACACGGUGGAUGCCCUGGCAGUCAGAGGCGAUGAAGGACGUGCUAAUCUGCGAUAAGCGCCGGUAAGGUGAUAUGAACCGUUAUAACCGGCGAUUUCCGAAUGGGGAAACCCAGUGUGACUCGUCACACUAUCAUUAACUGAAUCCAUAGGUUAAUGAGGCGAACCGGGGGAACUGAAACAUCUAAGUACCCCGAGGAAAAGAAAUCAACCGAGAUUCCCCCAGUAGCGGCGAGCGAACGGGGAGGAGCCCAGAGCCUGAAUCAGCAUGUGUGUUAGUGGAAGCGUCUGGAAAGGCGCGCGAUACAGGGUGACAGCCCCGUACACAAAAGCGCAUGUGCUGUGAGCUCGAUGAGUAGGGCGGGACACGUGGUAUCCUGUCUGAAUAUGGGGGGACCAUCCUCCAAGGCUAAAUACUCCUGACUGACCGAUAGUGAACCAGUACCGUGAGGGAAAGGCGAAAAGAACCCCGGCGAGGGGAGUGAAAAAGAACCUGAAACCGUGUACGUACAAGCAGUGGGAGCCCCACCACUAAGCCAGUGGUGAACUCCACAUACGCAUCCUUUGCUGAUGGCAAUGGUUAACGGAGCGAAAGCGACGUUCAACCGCAAAACAAGCAGAGGGGGCUUAGUGGUGGGGUGACUGCGUACCUUUUGUAUAAUGGGUCAGCGACUUAUAUUCUGUAGCAAGGUUAACCGUAUAGGGGAGCCGCAGGGAAACCGAGUCUUAACCGGGCGUUAAGUUGCAGGGUAUAGACCCGAAACCCGGUGAUCUAGCCAUGGGCAGGUUGAAGGUUGGGUAACACUAACUGGAGGACCGAACCGACUAAUGUUGAAAAAUUAGCGGAUGACCUGUGGCUGGGGGUGAAAGGCCAAUCAAACCGGGAGAUAGCUGGUUCUCCCCGAAAGCUAUUUAGGUAGCGCCUCGUGAAUUCAUCUCCGGGGGUAGAGCACUGUUUCGGCUAGGGGGCCAUCCCGGCUUACCAACCCGAUGCAAACUGCGAAUACCGGAGAAUGUUAUCACGGGAGACACACGGCGGGUGCUAACGUCCGUCGUGAAGAGGGAAACAACCCAGACCGCCAGCUAAGGUCCCAAAGUCAUGGUUAAGUGGGAAACGAUGUGGGAAGGCCCAGACAGCCAGGAUGUUGGCUUAGAAGCAGCCAUCAUUUAAAGAAAGCGUAAUAGCUCACUGGUCGAGUCGGCCUGCGCGGAAGAUGUAACGGGGCUAAACCAUGCACCGAAGCUGCGGCAGCGACACUGUGUGUUGUUGGGUAGGGGAGCGUUCUGUAAGCCUGCGAAGGUGGCCUGUGAGGGUUGCUGGAGGUAUCAGAAGUGCGAAUGCUGACAUAAGUAACGAUAAAGCGGGUGAAAAGCCCGCUCGCCGGAAGACCAAGGGUUCCUGUCCAACGUUAAUCGGGGCAGGGUGAGUCGACCCCUAAGGCGAGGCCGAAAGGCGUAGUCGAUGGGAAACGGGUUAAUAUUCCCGUACUUGGUGUUACUGCGAAGGGGGGACGGAGAAGGCUAUGUUGGCCGGGCGACGGUUGUCCCGGUUUAAGCGUGUAGGUGUGUGUUCCAGGUAAAUCCGGUUCACUUUAACACUGAGGCGUGACGACGAGGCACUACGGUGCUGAAGCAACAAAUGCCCUGCUUCCAGGAAAAGCCUCUAAGCAUCAGGUAACAUCAAAUCGUACCCCAAACCGACACAGGUGGUCAGGUAGAGAAUACCAAGGCGCUUGAGAGAACUCGGGUGAAGGAACUAGGCAAAAUGGUGCCGUAACUUCGGGAGAAGGCACGCUGACAUGUAGGUGAAGUGAUUUACUCAUGGAGCUGAAGUCAGUCGAAGAUACCAGCUGGCUGCAACUGUUUAUUAAAAACACAGCACUGUGCAAACACGAAAGUGGACGUAUACGGUGUGACGCCUGCCCGGUGCCGGAAGGUUAAUUGAUGGGGUCAGCGCAAGCGAAGCUCCUGAUCGAAGCCCCGGUAAACGGCGGCCGUAACUAUAACGGUCCUAAGGUAGCGAAAUUCCUUGUCGGGUAAGUUCCGACCUGCACGAAUGGCGUAAUGAUGGCCAGGCUGUCUCCACCCGAGACUCAGUGAAAUUGAACUCGCUGUGAAGAUGCAGUGUACCCGCGGCAAGACGGAAAGACCCCGUGAACCUUUACUAUAGCUUGACACUGAACAUUGAGCCUUGAUGUGUAGGAUAGGUGGGAGGCUUUGAAGUGUGGACGCCAGUCUGCAUGGAGCCGACCUUGAAAUACCACCCUUUAAUGUUUGAUGUUCUAACGUGGACCCGUAAUCCGGGUUGCGGACAGUGUCUGGUGGGUAGUUUGACUGGGGCGGUCUCCUCCUAAAGAGUAACGGAGGAGCACGAAGGUUGGCUAAUCCUGGUCGGACAUCAGGAGGUUAGUGCAAUGGCAUAAGCCAGCUUGACUGCGAGCGUGACGGCGCGAGCAGGUGCGAAAGCAGGUCAUAGUGAUCCGGUGGUUCUGAAUGGAAGGGCCAUCGCUCAACGGAUAAAAGGUACUCCGGGGAUAACAGGCUGAUACCGCCCAAGAGUUCAUAUCGACGGCGGUGUUUGGCACCUCGAUGUCGGCUCAUCACAUCCUGGGGCUGAAGUAGGUCCCAAGGGUAUGGCUGUUCGCCAUUUAAAGUGGUACGCGAGCUGGGUUUAGAACGUCGUGAGACAGUUCGGUCCCUAUCUGCCGUGGGCGCUGGAGAACUGAGGGGGGCUGCUCCUAGUACGAGAGGACCGGAGUGGACGCAUCACUGGUGUUCGGGUUGUCAUGCCAAUGGCACUGCCCGGUAGCUAAAUGCGGAAGAGAUAAGUGCUGAAAGCAUCUAAGCACGAAACUUGCCCCGAGAUGAGUUCUCCCUGAGACUUAAAGUCUCCUGAAGGAACGUUGAAGACGACGACGUUGAUAGGCCGGGUGUGUAAGCGCAGCGAUGCGUUGAGCUAACCGGUACUAAUGAACCGUGAGGCUUAACCUU